Molecule: long non-coding RNA, 297 nt
Filed under: Brassica napus (rape)
Lineage: Eukaryota; Viridiplantae; Streptophyta; Magnoliopsida; Brassicales; Brassicaceae
Description: long non-coding RNA (BNAP_LNC016003)
Source: RNAcentral
CGGUUUGUUCCAAGAAAAUUUUUGUCGUCCCCUUUUGACUCAAUAAAAAGACUCACUGUCACUUAAAAUAGAACGCAAUGUCAGUAGAAACUUCCCCCAUACUUAAACAACACUGAGUGUUAUACAGUCUGAGAUUGGCGAAAUAAAUAAGUAAAACUUAAAAUAAAAUCUAAAGAAUUCGAGUACGUACAUGAGAACAGAGGGAGUUUUGACCGACGGACUUAAGUGUUGAUCGAUGCCCAUGAAGAAGGGAAGUGUUGACUGACACCUAGUGGGUGUCGACCGAUGCUGGUACUC